AGUACCCCAAGCAUUUUGCCUGUCACGGGCCGAGCUUAGGGACAGGCAUUAACAGUGACAGAUAAACCAGAACACAGGAGGGAGUGGGUGAGGCUGACAGGUUCAUCAAUAAUCACCUCUAAUUGGGCAAUAUGCAUUCAAACUAGAUUCUUCUGUGGAAGUGUUUCUUCCAGUGAAAAAGCUAUCAUAGAUCAUUUCCUGAUAAACAGUACUAUAAAUAUGACUAAAGAAAUCCAGUGUGCUUCAGACUUCAGUCGAAGACGUUUCCACUCAGCUUCACUUCUUAAUAUACCACAGACUCUGCGUAAACUCCAGACAAUUGAAAUGGCAGACCAAGGAAGACCUCCGUGUCCUGCAGAAGCUGUGAUUGUGGGUGGGACGGGAGGAGAUUAUUUCUCCUUUGAGUCAGCCGCCAACGUCGUCACCAUUAAGAAGGUCAACGUUACUUACAGUGAGACAACACUGAACUCAAUCCAGGUGAUUUUCAACUGUGGACACAUGAUUAAAGUGGGUAACUCAACAGGACCGAAAAAUAAAGAAAUUGUGUUUGAUGACGAUGAAAUAAUAAUCUCUGCAAAACUGUGGCCAAAUAAGACUGGUGACAGAUUUGGGGGGUUUGAGUUUAACACCUAUGGACAAACAACAUUUUCUGUCAAGUGUCAGGAACUGGGUGAACCUGUGAGUUUGGAAACGAAGUGUGGAAUGAUUAAUGGCAUUACAGGCAGAAGUGGAGAUGAAAUUAAUGCUCUGGGCUUCUACUUCACUUAGUCUACAGCUAUGCAUACAUACAGGUUACUGACAGCAUCCAAAAUAUCUGCUCAGCAAUCAUAUAAUCAUUCAAUUGUAUCAGAUAAUAUACAUCAUGUAUCAGAUUUUAAUCAAUGUUACUUUAAGAUUUUCUUCUAUUAAUUAUUACAUUUCCGGCUCUUGUAUCCAUACUAGGCAAAAAAACUUUCAUAAAUAAGUGACAAGGUAUAAAUAAUGGAUGAAUGUGUAAGCCAGAAAAAUAGAGAUAGUAAUUUGUCAUAGAUCAUUUAUCUCUUUAUAUAAUUUUCUGUUCUCUCAUUUAUUAUCUUCAUGUAUUAGUACAAUGUCAAUAAAAAGUGUAACUUGAUUUGAAAGGGCCUGACACAAAUCUCCCGGUUACUUGAAGAUAACUGUGUAUUAAAUAAACCAUUCUUCUGGUUUUGUGGGUAAGGGAUGAGGCAAGGACUCAAGAGCAGUGUUUUAUGGGUUUCAAACAAACACACAAUAACUUCUUUGUAAGAGAAAACAGACCAGUAACAAGGUUCAACAGGGAUGAACAUGAGGGGUACAUUCAGCAAUAAUCUGGCACAGGACAGAAAAUACUGGGGCUGUGUCUGAAAUUGUCAUUUUACUAUCAAUAAGGGCACUAUUUGAGAAAACACUUAAGGUGUUAACCAUAGUCGACAUUAUCAAGUGCACUCAUUCAAUCCCAUAAUACACCACACUAAUGUGCACAACUGAUGCACUCAGCAGCUAGAGAAUACCCAUAAUGCACUGUGAUGGUCCUGUCAAUUUAAUUCCUGUGUCUCGCCAGAAGAUGGUGCCUGCAUCUGAAUCAUCCACUCAUCCAUUUCCCAAACCUUUUGUCCAAUGGGUCUCAUUCAUGAAACAUUUGUAAAUAUACGAGUAAAUAUGUGAGUGAUUUGCGCGUAAAGAGAACUUCCCGAAAACUCUUCUCCUGAUUCACAAAAACUUCGUAAACGUCAGAUGUGAUAGUGUGUGUGUUAAUGAAUUCCAAUCAGUCGUAAAUGGGACGCGCGUGCACGCUCAUUCUCAAUUACCAUAAAUCCCGCCCAUUAAAUCCGACUGACAACUUUAUAUGAGCAUCAUAUUAUGACACUAAACGAAGGAUUUCAACAUGUAUUCUCAAAAGAGAAUGAAAAAUGUAAAUUUCUCAGCUGCAGAAAUUGAAGUUUUAUUAUCAGAAGUUAAUUCAAAACGCCACGUUUUAUUUUCAAGCGUAUAUGGCGUUUCAGGUCCUAAAAAAAG
Molecule: long non-coding RNA, 2016 nt
Organism: Carassius auratus (goldfish)
Lineage: Eukaryota; Metazoa; Chordata; Actinopteri; Cypriniformes; Cyprinidae
Source: Ensembl